This 120-nucleotide non-coding RNA is filed under the name unclassified sequences. Its description in RNAcentral is "drum RNA". It matches the Rfam family "drum RNA". From Rfam's summary of the family: Firmicutes, Bacteroidetes (1 example), Proteobacteria (2 examples), Spirochaetes (2 examples). The record is from Rfam by way of RNAcentral.
AGGCGUUUUAAAGCAGUGUGUCGAAUCUGGAAGUGCGGUGCUCUGCAUAGUCUUCGAUGGUUCUCCAAGCAUGCCAGAAGCCAGAUGUAGGUUGAUUUCAACCGAAGGAAAAUGGAAGAU